GUGGGGAAUUUUGGACAAUGGGGGCAACCCUGAUCCAGCCAUGCCGCGUGCGGGAAGAAGGCCUUCGGGUUGUAAACCGCUUUUGUCAGGGAAGAAAUCCUUUGGGUUAAUACCUCGGAGGGAUGACGGUACCUGAAGAAUAAGCACCGGCUAACUACGUGCCAGCAGCCGCGGUAAUACGUAGGGUGCGAGCGUUAAUCGGAAUUACUGGGCGUAAAGCGUGCGCAGGCGGUUUUGUAAGAUCGAUGUGAAAUCCCCGGGCUCAACCUGGGAAGUGCAUUCGUGACUGCAAGGCUAGAGUGUGUCAGAGGGAGGUGGAAUUCCGCGUGUAGCAGUGAAAUGCGUAGAGAUGCGGAGGAACACCGAUGGCGAAGGCAGCCUCCUGGGAUAACACUGACGCUCAGGCACGAAAGCGUGGGGAGCAAACAGGAUUAGAUACCCCAGUAGUCC
Molecule: ribosomal RNA, 450 nt
Filed under: uncultured bacterium
Lineage: Bacteria
Description: partial 16S ribosomal RNA
Rfam family: Bacterial small subunit ribosomal RNA
Source: RNAcentral